Molecule: long non-coding RNA, 2141 nt
Filed under: Homo sapiens (human)
Lineage: Eukaryota; Metazoa; Chordata; Mammalia; Primates; Hominidae
Description: non-protein coding PDCD4-AS1:6
Source: RNAcentral
AGUCCGGGGCGUUGGGGAGGGCGCGGCUGGACCUGCGGGGCUACAAGAAGGCAGCCGGACCCCCGCACCGCAGGCCCGGACCUGACAGGACCGCGACCCCCACGCCUCCGCCCCCGCCCCCUCCCAUCUUGCGGCUGCCUCCGAGGAGGGAUGGGGGAGAGGGCGCAGUCUUCCCGAGCGUGUGAGCCGCGCCUACUGGUACUGACCCCUCGGGCCCCCGCCGCUGCUCGCCCAGGUUCCUGGUCAGCCGGCCCCGACCCCGCUCUUCUGUCUCUGCCGCCGCCUCGGAGAGUCUCUGGCCCUUCUCGCUCUGUUUGUUUUUGUUUUCUUCUACCCAGUAACACGGGGGCGAGAGGGCGGCGCUUAUUGGCCGAGGCCGGGUGGUCGGCUGGCCAAUCGUGGCGGCGGAGCCGGAGCUGAGGAGGAAAAGGGAGAGGAGUGAAACGGUUUCAUCAUGUUGUCCAGGCUGGUCUUGAACUCCUGGGCUCAAGCAAUCAGCCCACCUCUGCCUCCCAAAGCGUUGAGAUUACAAGCGUGAGCCACCAUUCCUGGACCCUCGUAGUUUUUCUGGAGCCUCGUGAUUUGAUAUGAUCUUCCUGCCGCUGAUUCCUCACAGUGUUGGCUUGCCACACCUCCAGGGGCACUGAUCACAUUCUACCUGGCAUUAUUUCAUCUGAGUCCCUGUCCUAGCCCUUCUGCCCAUUAGACUGUAACCUUGUUUAGGGAAAGACCUGUGUCUUACUCAUCUGUGAUUUUGUUGUUGUUGUUGUUUUGAGACAGGGUCUUGCCCUGUUGCCCAGGCUGGAGAGCAGUGGUGCAAUCUUGGCUCACUGCAGCCUCAACCUGUUGGGGUCAAGCCAUCCUCCCACCUCAGCUUUCCAAGUAGCUGAGACUACAGGCCUGUGCCACCACACCCAGCUAGUUUUUUGUAUUUUUAGUAGAGAUGGGGUUUUGCCAUGUUGCCCAGGCUUCUCUUGAACUCCUGAGCUCAAGGGAUCUGCCUGCCUCGGCCUCCCAAAGUGCUGGGAUUACAGGCGUGAGCCACUGUGCCUGACCCACUCACCUGUCAUUGUAGUACUUAAGAUGCCUUGUUCAUUUAUUGUGCCUGUGCAAUAAAUACACCUUGAUUUGAGUUUACAAAGAUUCUCAGCAGUUGGUGGUCAUCCUCAUCUCCUGGGCGGGGGCCUCCUGGUGUGGCCAGUAUCUGAAUUAGUCUCAUAACUCAUGUUCACUUUUUAAAAUCGGAGCUUCCCAGACCUCAGUUUUGUUUUGUUAUUUUCCAUUAUCUGCAGCUGUCUCCUUUCCCCUCUCUCACCUAUACUCUACUGAUCAGUGACUGCUGGCUCCUUUGUUACCCAUCCUUCUCUUUCUCCACAUUUUUUCUCUUCUCAUCCCUUUCAGUUCUGGACUGUUUCCUUCUUCCUCCCUGUCUUUCAUUUAGUCAUUCAUUGAAUGUACUUACUAAGCACAUAUAGCAUAAUCAGGCUGUGUUGGGUAGGCAUCCCGAGUUCUAUGAGAUAAAGAAAGAAUGGGAUAUGAUUACCAAUUUUAAGAAGCAUCUAAAACAACCUGUUAUGUUUUAGCAAAUUGCCCCCAAAGGACCCAUUAGGGAGGAAAACGUUCAUGUCCUUUUUGCGUAUCAUCUCAAGCAGUACCCAUGAUGGCUGGGAUCCCAGAACCCACCUUUGAGAAUGCUGCCGUAUUUGCGUGUGGUUGACAAGGUUGGGCCAGACACUCAGGAAAUAGGGUUGUCGUCCUACCUCCCCCACUAACUUCCUGUAAGAACUUCAGCCCCUCUCAGGACCUUUUUCUUUACCAAUAAAAUUCAGAAAUUGGGCUCAAUCAGUAAUUCCCAAGUUAUUUUCCAAAGAACAUGAAUUUUGUGGAACUUUAAUAGAUAUCAUGCAAAAAAAAAUGUGGGAGGGAUUGUUCCAUGGUCAAAUGGUCUUGGAAAUAACUCGUUUAAACAAAAAUAAAACUGUUUCUUUACCCACAACUCUUCUCAGUGGUUUUUUGUUUGUUUGUUUGUUUUUUGAGAUGAAGUUUUGCUCUUGUCGCCCAGUUUGGAGUGUAAUGGCACUAUUUUGACUCACUGCAACCUGUGCCUCCUGGAUUCAAGUGAUUCUCCUGCCUCAGCCUCC